This 226-nucleotide unclassified non-coding RNA is filed under the name Hevea brasiliensis (rubber tree). The record is from RNAcentral. Lineage: Eukaryota; Viridiplantae; Streptophyta; Magnoliopsida; Malpighiales; Euphorbiaceae.
UGAAAGAAAGGCGUAAAAGGAGGUUGGCAGCUGGAGUUGUAAUUUUCAACUACAGGGAUUACAAUAACAAACUUCAAAAGACUGAAGUCACUGAAGACUUCUCCUGUCCAUUUUGCUUGAUGAUGUGUGUGAGCUUUAAGGGUCUUCGGUACCAUUUAUGCUCUUCACAUGAUUUAUUCAACUUCGAGUUCUGGGCGAGUGAAGACUACCAAGCUGUGAAUGUCUC